This is a long non-coding RNA of Cucumis melo (muskmelon), 1119 nucleotides long. RefSeq lists it as uncharacterized. Lineage: Eukaryota; Viridiplantae; Streptophyta; Magnoliopsida; Cucurbitales; Cucurbitaceae. The transcript has 5 exons. The record is from RefSeq and is a predicted model, not a curated record.
AACCAGUUGAAUUAAAAGAAGAUUUGAGUUAUGUUGAAGAACCAGUUCAGAUUCUCGACAGAAAGGAACAAGUUUUGAGAAACAAAACGAUUCCACUCAUAAAAGUUUUGUGGAGACAUCAUGGAGCGGAGGAGGCAACUUGGGAACCAGAAUAUCAGAUGAAGAAGAGCUAUCCGAUACUUUUCAGUUAAGGACAUUCUAAAUUUCGAGGACGAAAUUUUCUAAAGGGAAGAGAACUUCUAAGAGAGAGUUUGGAAGAAGAAGAGAAAUUUUACUAGAAUUUUUAGGUUGAAGAAGAGGAGAAGAACUCAAGCAAAGUGUAUCAAUGGCUGAAUUUUAGUUCAUUCUGCACAUCACUGGUUUUUAAUUCGGUUUGAACUCUUCAAAAGGAAUUAAGAGGUGAGAUUUACAUUUACUGAAAGUUAACUCAUUUUUAAACAAACUUUAUGAAGAACGUUGGAGCAAAUUCGGAUAUUCAUUUGGUGCUUUUUGAUGAAGAAAACAGGGCAGUUGGUUUUCACUCGAAAUCAGGAGGUCUCUGGUUUUUCUUGUAUUUCAGAGUGUAUCGGUGGAGUUAGAAUUUCUAUUUGGAACAAGUUAAAGAGGUCGUGUGCGCGCGAUUCUGGAAGUGGUUCUGUUUUGAGGGUUAUAUGUGUUUAUGCACGGGGAAUCAGAUUUAUAUGUCUUCAGGCCGAGAAGAAUUAAACCGAGCUUAUAGACCAAGGAUCUAGCCCAAGACUGUAGAGAUCGACUUCCCGGUGCCUGAUAGACUGCCUUAGUCUGCGGAAGCUUCAUUAUCGAUUGCCAGUACGUGUUUUGAGUUGGGCAUAAAGUCUGUUGUAUUUGUGAUGUAUUCACACCCUUGUAUGUUAUAGAUACUCCACAGUUUGUAUAAGCUUUAGGAGCUGUAGUUGUGUAAAUUUUGUUGGUUAUAUUUUGAUUAAGGUGUCUUUAGGUUUACUCGUGAAAUUGGUAAAUUUUGAGGUACACUUCAUGUAUGUGUUUGACUAGCUGUGUUUGACUAGCCUAGGAUCCGAUGUGUUUUGUGGCAUGUACAAUAGUUUAUAUACUAGAUUGGCAAGUUCAUCACAUGAAAGUUUUAAGCAGAGUCGACAGAUA